RNAcentral lists this ribosomal RNA (460 nucleotides) under uncultured bacterium. RNAcentral's name for it is "partial 16S ribosomal RNA". It matches the Rfam family "Bacterial small subunit ribosomal RNA", at positions 338 to 795 of the family's 1533-position model. The record is from RNAcentral.
CCUACGGGCGGCUGCAGUGAGGAAUAUUGGUCAAUGGCCGGAAGGCUGAACCAGCCAAGCCGCGUGAAGGACGAAGGUGCCAAGCAUUGUAAACUUCUUUUGUCAAGGGACAAAAUCAGGCUCGAGAGCCUGACCGAGGGUACUUGAAGAAAAAGCAUCGGCUAACUCCGUGCCAGCAGCCACGGUAAUACGGAGGAUGCGAGCGUUAUCCGGAUUUAUUGGGUUUAAAGGGGGCGUAGGCGGGGUGUUAAGUCAGCUGGUAAAGCCCGGGGCUCAACCCCGGGCGAGCGGUUGAUACUGGCUGUCUUGAGAUGUGGAGAGGUAGGCGGAAUGCGCAGUGUAGCGGUGAAAUGCUUAGAUAUUGUGCAGAACUCCGAUUGCGAAGGCAGCAUACCGGCGGCGAUCUGACGCUGAGGCACGAAAGCGUGGGUAUCGAACAGGAUUAGAUACCCGGGUAGUC